GACUCCUUCAUUACGCAGAAGGCUGGGGAACACUUUCUCUGUUCUAGAUAUUAAUAAAAUACAGCUUUUGUGGUCCCAAUAGGAGAUAAAAUGAUAGAGGUCUGCGAUUAGCACCAAGGUAGGGAUGAGGGAGUGAUGUAAACGCUGCCUGGCCGGCAGCUUGCCGAGGAGAUCAGUUUCUGACUGACAAUAGCAGGAGUUCAGAUUCAGGAGGUUCAUAGAAGAUAGUGUGGAGGAUGCUGGUAGCUCUAGGAUCAAGAACUGCCACGGGCCAGUUACGAGGCGAUUACCUGGGAAACCCGGAAGGCCCUCGUGGAGGAUUCUGGGGAGCCGACGUUGCGGCUCCUGAAGCGCAUGCGCCAGGAUUCCCGCCCCCGACACAGCAGCGGUGCCAUCCUGACUAUGCUGCGUGUAGAUCCUUAUCUUGGGUUUCCAGCCUGGGUGGCCGGAGGCGCUGUUCCAGCAGCGUGUUUGUUCUGCAGUUGUGUGUUAUUACUUCAGUGCAUCGCCCAGAGGAAACUCAGGCAAAGUCCAUAACUUACUAUACUGUAGUACGAUCACCAAAAGGAGCGUCUCAUGCCUGGAGAACCCCUACUCAACAGCCAAGGUAAAGAAUGCACAGGCAAGUGAGGCUGGUUGUAUCAAGGCCUGAUGAUACAUGACAAAGUAAGACAGAAAAUAUUACUGCUAUUCUUCUUAUCAUCC
This 705-nucleotide long non-coding RNA is filed under the name Capra hircus (goat). Its description in RNAcentral is "lncRNA (ENSCHIG00000004463.1)". The record is from RNAcentral. Lineage: Eukaryota; Metazoa; Chordata; Mammalia; Artiodactyla; Bovidae.